Molecule: RNase P RNA, 459 nt
Filed under: Deltaproteobacteria bacterium RBG_13_65_10
Lineage: Bacteria; Deltaproteobacteria
Description: RNase P RNA component class A
Rfam family: Bacterial RNase P class A
About the family: Ribonuclease P (RNase P) is a ubiquitous endoribonuclease, found in archaea, bacteria and eukarya as well as chloroplasts and mitochondria. Its best characterised activity is the generation of mature 5'-ends of tRNAs by cleaving the 5'-leader elements of precursor-tRNAs.
Source: RNAcentral
GAAGCAGGGCAGACGAUCGCCGCCGGGUGAGCUGGGGGCGCGGAGCAUUCCGCGUUCGCCGGCGCUCGGGGGAGGAAAGUCCGAGCUCCUCAGGGCAGGGUGGUCGGUAACGCCGACCGGGGGUGACCCCAGGGAAAGUGGCACAGAAAAAACACGGCCGAUGGUUGCGAAGGAAACUUCGCUUCACAGGCAAAGGUGAAAACGUGCGGUAAGAGCGCACGCGCGACAGCCGGGUGACCGGCGGCGAGCUAAACCCCACCCGGAGCAAGACCAAAUAGGCUGGCGUUCCGGAACGGCCGGGAACUCCCGGCGCGCCGGAUCGUAGGGCUGCCCGCCCGAGACCAGCGGGUUAGGUCGCUUGAGGCGGCCGGCAACGGCCGUCCUAGAUGAAUGAUCGUCGCCCCGCCGGAGGUGACCCCGCGCGAGGAACAGAACUCGGCUUACCGCCCUGCUCCGACA